AGCAGUAUCCUGAGUACGGCGGGACACGUGAAAUCCCGUCGGAAUCUGGGAGGACCAUCUCCCAACCCUAAAUACUCCCUAGUGACCGAUAGUGAACCAGUACCGUGAGGGAAAGGUGAAAAGCACCCCGGGAGGGGAGUGAAAUAGAACCUGAAACCGUGUGCCUACAACAAGUUCGAGCCCGUUAAUGGGUGAGAGCGUGCCUUUUGUAGAAUGAACCGGCGAGUUACGUUAUGAUGCGAGGUUAAGUUGAAGAGACGGAGCCGUAGGGAAACCGAGUCUGAAUAGGGCGCCUUAGUAUCAUGACGUAGACCCGAAACCAUGUGACCUACCCAUGAGCAGGUUGAAGGUGCGGUAAGACGCACUGGAGGACCGAACCAGGGCACGUUGAAAAGUGCUUGGAUGACUUGUGGGUAGCGGAGAAAUUCCAAACGAACUUGGAGAUAGCUGGUUCUCUCCGAAAUAGCUUUAGGGCUAGCGUCGACAUUAGAGAUUCUUGGAGGUAGAGCACUGUUUGGGUGAGGGGUCCAUCCCGGAUUACCAAUCUCAGAUAAACUCCGAAUGCCAAUGAAUUAUGGUCGGCAGUCAGACUGCGAGUGCUAAGAUCCGUAGUCGAAAGGGAAACAGCCCAGACCACCAGCUAAGGUCCCAAAAUAAUUGUUAAGUGGAAAAGGAUGUGGGGUUGCACAGACAACUAGGAUGUUAGCUUAGAAGCAGCUAUUCAUUCAAAGAGUGCGUAAUAGCUCACUAGUCGAGUGACCCUGCGCCGAAAAUGUACCGGGGCUAAAACAAUUUACCGAAGCUGUGGAUACCUUUAUAGGUAUGGUAGGAGAGCGUUCUAUGUGUGAUGAAGGUAUACCGUGAGGAGUGCUGGAACGCAUAGAAGUGAGAAUGCCGGUAUGAGUAGCGAAAGACAGGUGAGAAUCCUGUCCACCGUAAGACUAAGGUUUCCAGGGGAAGGCUCGUCCGCCCUGGGUUAGUCGGGACCUAAGGAGAGACCGAAAGGUGUAUCCGAUGGACAACAGGUUGAUAUUCCUGUACUAGAGUAUGUAGUGAUGGAGGGACGCAGUAGGCUAACUAAAGCAGACGAUUGGAAGAGUCUGUCUAAGCAGUGAGGUGUGAAUUGAGUCAAAUGCUUAAUUCUAUAACAUUGAGCUGUGAUGGGGAGCGAAGUUUAGUAGCGAAGUUAGUGACGUCACACUGCCAAGAAAAGCUUCUAGCGUUUAAACAUACUCUACCCGUACCGCAAACCGACACAGGUAGUCGAGGCGAGUAGCCUCAGGUGAGCGAGAGAACUCUCGUUAAGGAACUCGGCAAAAUGACCCCGUAACUUCGGGAGAAGGGGUGCUGACUUNAAGUCAGCCGCAGUGAAUAGGCCCAAGCAACUGUUUAUCAAAAACACAGCUCUCUGCUAAAUCGUAAGAUGAUGUAUAGGGGGUGACGCCUGCCCGGUGCUGGAAGGUUAAGAGGAGUGCUUAGCGUAAGCGAAGGUAUGAAUUGAAGCCCCAGUAAACGGCGGCCGUAACUAUAACGGUCCUAAGGUAGCGAAAUUCCUUGUCGGGUAAGUUCCGACCCGCACGAAAGGCGUAAUGAUUUGGGCACUGUCUCAACGAGAGACUCGGUGAAAUUUUAGUACCUGUGAAGAUGCAGGUUACCCGCGACAGGACGGAAAGACCCCAUGGAGCUUUACUGCAGUUUGAUAUUGAGUGUCUGUACCACAUGUACAGGAUAGGUAGGAGUCUAAGAGAUCGGGACGCCAGUUUCGAAGGAGACGCUGUUGGGAUACUACCCUUGUGUUAUGGCCACUCUAACCCAGAUAGGUGAUCCCUAUCGGAGACAGUGUCUGACGGGCAGUUUGACUGGGGCGGUCGCCUCCUAAAAGGUAACGGAGGCGCCCAAAGGUUCCCUCAGAAUGGUUGGAAAUCAUUCGCAGAGUGUAAAGGUAUAAGGGAGCUUGACUGCGAGAGCUACAACUCGAGCAGGGACGAAAGUCGGGCUUAGUGAUCCGGUGGUUCCGUAUGGAAGGGCCAUCGCUCAACGGAUAAAAGCUACCCUGGGGAUAACAGGCUUAUCUCCCCCAAGAGUUCACAUCGACGGGGAGGUUUGGCACCUCGAUGUCGGCUCGUCGCAUCCUGGGGCUGUAGUCGGUCCCAAGGGUUGGGCUGUUCGCCCAUUAAAGCGGCACGCGAGCUGGGUUCAGAACGUCGUGAGACAGUUCGGUCCCUAUCCGUCGCGGGCGUAGGAAAUUUGAGAGGAUCUGCUCCUAGUACGAGAGGACCAGAGUGGACUUACCGCUGGUGUACCAGUUGUCUUGCCAAAGGCAUCGCUGGGUAGCUAUGUAGGGAAGGGAUAAACGCUGAAAGCAUCUAAGUGUGAAACCCACCUCAAGAUGAGAUUUCCCAUGAUUAUAUAUCAGUAAGAGCCCUGAGAGAUGAUCAGGUAGAUAGGUUAGAAGUGGAAGUGUGGCGACACAUGUAGCGGACUAAUACUAAUAGCUCGAGGACUUAUCCAA
Molecule: ribosomal RNA, 2512 nt
Filed under: Streptococcus pneumoniae
Lineage: Bacteria; Bacillati; Bacillota; Bacilli; Lactobacillales; Streptococcaceae
Description: 23S ribosomal RNA
Rfam family: Bacterial large subunit ribosomal RNA
Source: RNAcentral